RNAcentral lists this unclassified non-coding RNA (439 nucleotides) under uncultured Thelephoraceae. Its description in RNAcentral is "sequence contains ITS2". The stretch from base 1 to 155 matches the Rfam family "5.8S ribosomal RNA". The record is from RNAcentral. Lineage: Eukaryota; Fungi; Basidiomycota; Agaricomycetes; Thelephorales; Thelephoraceae.
AGCUUUUGGCAAUGGAUCACUUGGCUCUCGCAUCGAUGAAGAACGCAGCGAAUUGCGAUAAGUAAUGUGAAUUGCAGAAUUCAGUGAAUCAUCGAAUCUUUGAACGCACCUUGCGCCCCUCGGUUAUUCCUUGGGGCAUGCCUGUUUGAGUAUCAUGAACACCUCAACUCUCACGGUCUUCCGUGACGAGCUUGGACUUUGGGGGUUUGCUGGCCCUGCGGCCGGCUCCUCUCAAACAAAUCAGCUUGCCAGUGUUUGGCGGCAUCUCACGGGUGUGAUAACUAUCUAUGCUUGUGAUCGCCCGCCAAGUAACCUUCAGAGACGGAGGUUCGCUGGAGCUUAUAAAUGUCUCUCCUCAGCGAAGACAGCUUUUUGACCGUUCGAUCUCAAAUCAGGUAGGACUACCCGCUGAACUUAAGCAUAUCAAUAAGCGGAGGCU